UGGGGAAUAUUGGACAAUGGGCGAAAGCCUGAUCCAGCCAUGCCGCGUGUGUGAAGAAGGUCUUCGGAUUGUAAAGCACUUUAAGUUGGGAGGAAGGGCAGUAAGCGAAUACCUUGCUGUUUUGACGUUACCGACAGAAUAAGCACCGGCUAACUCUGUGCCAGCAGCCGCGGUAAUACAGAGGGUGCGAGCGUUAAUCGGAUUUACUGGGCGUAAAGCGUGCGUAGGCGGCUAAUUGAGUCGGAUGUGAAAUCCCCGAGCUUAACUUGGGAAGUGCAUUCGAUACUGGUUAGCUAGAGUGUGGGAGAGGAUGGUAGAAUUCCAGGUGUAGCGGUGAAAUGCGUAGAGAUAUGGAGGAAUACCGAUGGCGAAGGCAGCCAUCUGGCCUAACACUGACGCUGAGGUACGAAAGCAUGGGGAGCAAACAGG
Molecule: ribosomal RNA, 429 nt
Filed under: Pseudomonadota bacterium
Lineage: Bacteria; Pseudomonadati; Pseudomonadota
Description: Proteobacteria bacterium partial 16S ribosomal RNA
Rfam family: Bacterial small subunit ribosomal RNA
Source: RNAcentral